Juglans microcarpa x Juglans regia is the source of this 579-nucleotide long non-coding RNA. RefSeq lists it as uncharacterized. The transcript has 2 exons. NCBI's taxonomy places the organism in Eukaryota, Viridiplantae, Streptophyta, Magnoliopsida, Fagales, Juglandaceae. The record is from RefSeq and is a predicted model, not a curated record.
CGAAACAGCCCAUGCAAUGCACCAUCUACGACAAAAUGGGUCACUCCCGUGACCGUUGUUGGCAUGUAAUCGGGUACCCAGCAGGUCGUGACACCCGUGGCAAACCACGGCUGUCUCUCCUUGGCAAACGACCAUCCACCUAGGCACCGAUGGCUCAUCAAGUUUCCACCUCUUCCCCACUUCCUGGUUUGACCCAUGAUAUGUAUCAAAAACUACUUGAUCUGCUUCAACCGAACACUCCACCCGCAAACUUCAUGGGACCCACAGUCGACGAGGCUGACUGGAGCGGGUGAGCUUUGCAAUGGACUUUAUGUGUAUCGACCCCAACCCAUUAUUGCUUUUUCCACUCAGACUACUGCUAAUAAGAUCUUAUGGCACCAACGCCUAGGUCAUCCUUCCCGCUUAGUUAUUCCCAGUCUUUUCAAUAAUCUAUGUGUUAUCUCUGAUUAUGAUAUUUGUGCUCGUUCUAAGCACACUAGACUACCUUUUCCCAUUUCUACUAAUAAAAGUACUAUAAUUUUUAAUAGAAUUUUUUGCAAUAUCUGGGGUGGCUAUCAUACUUCUUCUAUUUGUGGUGCU